GACGAACGCUGGCGGCGUGCUUAACACAUGCAAGUCGAGCGGUAAGGCCCUUUCGGGGGUACACGAGCGGCGAACGGGUGAGUAACACGUGGGUGACCUGCCUUUAGCUCUGGGAUAAGCCUGGGAAACCGGGUCUAAUGCCGGAUAUGACUCCGCGGCGCAUGUUGUGGGGUGGAAAGCCUUGUGCGGCUAGGGAUGGGCCCGCAGCCUAUCAGCUUGUUGGUGGGGUGAUGGCCUACCAAGGCGACGACGGGUAGCCGGCCUGAGAGGGCGACCGGCCACACUGGGACUGAGACACGGCCCAGACUCCUACGGGAGGCAGCAGUGGGGAAUCUUGCGCAAUGGGCGAAAGCCUGACGCAGCGACGCCGCGUGAGGGAUGACGGCC
RNAcentral lists this ribosomal RNA (387 nucleotides) under uncultured bacterium. Its description in RNAcentral is "bacterial SSU rRNA". It matches the Rfam family "Bacterial small subunit ribosomal RNA", at positions 28 to 416 of the family's 1533-position model. The record is from RNAcentral.